GCUGUAAAGUCUUUAACAUGGGAUUCUGUGGGGAGUGCUUUUCUUUUGGCCACCCACAUUUUACUAAACUGACAAAUUUAGUUUCUCCUGAAAUCUAGACAUUAUAAUGUAGGUUUAUUUUAGAGAUGUCUUGUAAAAUUACAGCUCAUUUUAAUCAAGACAACAUAUUUAGGGGGAAAUUCCAUAACAAAUAUUUUGUUUACCUUUUAACGGCGCCUGCUGGAGGAUGUGUGUGUGCU
This is a long non-coding RNA of Thalassophryne amazonica, 239 nucleotides long. RefSeq lists it as uncharacterized. NCBI's taxonomy places the organism in Eukaryota, Metazoa, Chordata, Actinopteri, Batrachoidiformes, Batrachoididae. The record is from RefSeq and is a predicted model, not a curated record. The transcript has 3 exons.